UUUCCCGCAAAACGUACAAACCCUAGAUAACUUGUUCGGCUCGGGUGCAAAAGAUAUAUUUCUUGCUGAAUAUCAGCAAAAAAGUAUUUCUUGCUGAUAUACAGUCGUCGUGUUUAAUACACUGCUGUUUGGGAACUAUUAGUUAUUGCUACCGACUAACGUUAUUUGUAGACGUUCCUUUCAGGCAGGGGGCAGCAGCGGUCUGCUCAUGGACCUGGCAGCAAAUGAGAUAGCAGUGCACUCUUGACUUUUUCAAUGAUUUUGAAGAUCUGUUUGACGACAAGGACCUGCAGUGACUGAAGAAGACCCAGGAUACGUGUGUGUGUGUGUGCCUGUUUGUGUGUGUACAUAUGUGUGCAUGUGAGACAAAAGUAUCCCAAGAACUGUGGAACCAGCACAAUUAUCUCUGGUGGAACGUUGAUCAUGU
Esox lucius (northern pike) is the source of this 427-nucleotide long non-coding RNA. RefSeq lists it as uncharacterized. The transcript is spliced from 3 exons. The record is from RefSeq and is a predicted model, not a curated record. Lineage: Eukaryota; Metazoa; Chordata; Actinopteri; Esociformes; Esocidae.